GAUGAUGCUGGCAGAGCCACUUUCUGAGGAGACAAUAGUGGUCCCAGACUCUUUCCUCCCCAAUCUCGGAGCAGCUGGACUCAAAAAGGGAAGAAGCUUCUCCAGGAUGCCCCAGGGCAGCAACCCGGCAGGUGCCCUAGACUGAGGCACCGACAGGGCGCGAGCGCGCAGCCAGCGGGAGCAGGAGGGACGCGCAGGCAAGUACUCACAGGGGCCCUCUAUCAGGAGCAAUCAGUGUCCAGCAUCAGACAUCCUUCCAUCCAUAACCUUGCAGUCCAACCAGAGAGACAGGGAGGAGCUCACAAGGCCAUCAGCGAUCACCCAUGUGCUGUGAAAUCCAGGCCUAAUGUGUAUAGAUGGG
Nycticebus coucang (slow loris) is the source of this 361-nucleotide long non-coding RNA. RefSeq lists it as uncharacterized. NCBI's taxonomy places the organism in Eukaryota, Metazoa, Chordata, Mammalia, Primates, Lorisidae. The record is from RefSeq and is a predicted model, not a curated record. The transcript is spliced from 3 exons.